AACUGAUUUUUCUGGCUUCUCACGCAGCCACGUCACCUCUAUUAUUAUUAGCCAUUGGAUCAACAACGAACGCAAUCAACUACGAACGCUAACUCUCGAUGCGUUCCCGUGUCGACUUCCAGCGCCUGGGCUGUACGUAGCCAUCUGUUGAGUGCACGUGGGCUGCGCAAGCCAAGUACAUGGGCUUUCAAUCCCGCAAGUGUUUGCCCAAGCCCAAGCCAGAUCUGUCUAAAAAAAGUGCUUUGCCCGAGUCAAUAUUUCGUACGUUUGCUGUAUGGCGCAUGGGUGUCAACCGGCACCGCUCAUCUUCUUUAGCUCAAAAUAAAAAAAGAGUCGCUCAUCUUCUCCGCGUGACUCUAAUCGCCGCCGCUAUCUCUUCCGCUGCAGCGACCGAAUCUCUCCCGACGCAUUCAUCGCCCCUCAUUAUCUUGCCCUCCGUUACAGGAAGAAAAGUUAGAUUAAACUGCGCGGCCACCGCCUUCGCGUCUACUAACCUGUCUAUGCUACCAUCCUCCCCACCAUCGCCGGUCUGCCUCUGUUCGGAUUCAAUUCUGGGUGCGGGUAGGACGCGGUUCCGUUGUCGAGCACCCACAUCGUCGAGGAAGACACGCCGUUGCUCUGCUUCGGACCACCUCCCGUACACCCGCCUAUCCGCGUCGCCUCGCUCCAAUGUGUCUCUGAUCGUGGGAACACAGAACGGGCCGACGGCCGCCGUCGGCGGGAGGAGAGGUGGGGAAUCCGACUCAAUCUCUGAACAGGACUUCCAAAGGGACUCCACCUUUGGGGCUAACACAUCAGCUUAUCAGUCCAACAUCUGUUCAUCCGCUCCACACGCGUUUGACACUCCCAAGGCUAGGCUAUCAGCUCGAUGUGCUUCCACAUGGACUUCAUGGAGAUUCUGUUUCACUUGGACAUAAGCAAUAUUAUUGAUGUGCAAUGGCAUCAUUCCUACCAAGGGGUUGGCAAAAUUGCAAGCAGCAUCUAGAUCCAUCCAAUUCAUUGACUGUUGUUGUUUUGGAUAACCCGAUGCACCUGCAUAUCUUGAUUUAUCAGCAGGCCGCACGCCACCAGCAAUUCGGCAAUUUUUACUUCAUCUACCAACCGGAGAUGUUGGAGUCCAGGAGCCAGACGCCACCGUCGACGACGACAC
Long non-coding RNA from Aegilops tauschii subsp. strangulata, 1150 nucleotides. RefSeq lists it as uncharacterized. The record is from RefSeq and is a predicted model, not a curated record. NCBI's taxonomy places the organism in Eukaryota, Viridiplantae, Streptophyta, Magnoliopsida, Poales, Poaceae.